CUACAUCCACCAGAGGGAGUCUCUCUCUGUUCACCUUCAGCAGGAUGUGAUGAUACAGUCUAGAUUAGAUUCUCUCAGACUCACAGCUGUGAUGAAGAGCUCCAGAAACUCAUUGGACAUCUGAGUCUCCUCCUGCUGACUGCAGAGCUUCAUGACUGACACCUCUCUGAUUCCAGCUGUGAACAUCAGACCAAACACAACUCACUAAACGUUUCCAUACUGAACAACCACAGCUUUCCCCUCUGUGAACAUGGAGAAACUGGCUGCAAUUCUGCUCUGUUCAGCUCUCAUAGGUAACAGCUUGGAAGAUGAUAUUACUGCCAUCAGUGCUGAAGUGUGUUCCUCAGAGGGCCGUAGUGUUACUCUGUCCUGUACAUAUUCAGUUAAAGCCAAUAACCUCCAGUGGUACAGACAGGAUCCUGGAUCAGCUCCUCAGUUCCUCCUCCUGAUCACUGACACAACACAGCCUUACGUGGUGGAAGCAAAACCUCCAAUCCCUCGACUGAAUGCCACACUGAACUUGGAGAGAAAUCAAGUGGAUCUGCAGAUCUCCUCUGCUGCAGUGACAGACUCUGCUGUGUACUACUGUGCUCUGCUCACAAAGCACUGA
Non-coding RNA from Trematomus bernacchii (emerald rockcod), 610 nucleotides. NCBI's taxonomy places the organism in Eukaryota, Metazoa, Chordata, Actinopteri, Perciformes, Nototheniidae. The record is from the annotation of a RefSeq genome assembly.